RNAcentral lists this ribosomal RNA (2706 nucleotides) under Escherichia coli. RNAcentral's name for it is "23S ribosomal RNA". It matches the Rfam family "Bacterial large subunit ribosomal RNA". Lineage: Bacteria; Pseudomonadati; Pseudomonadota; Gammaproteobacteria; Enterobacterales; Enterobacteriaceae. The record is from RNAcentral.
ACACUAUCAUUAACUGAAUCCAUAGGUUAAUGAGGCGAACCGGGGGAACUGAAACAUCUAAGUACCCCGAGGAAAAGAAAUCAACCGAGAUUCCCCCAGUAGCGGCGAGCGAACGGGGAGCAGCCCAGAGCCUGAAUCAGUGUGUGUGUUAGUGGAAGCGUCUGGAAAGGCGCGCGAUACAGGGUGACAGCCCCGUACACAAAAAUGCACAUGCUGUGAGCUCGAUGAGUAGGGCGGGACACGUGGUAUCCUGUCUGAAUAUGGGGGGACCAUCCUCCAAGGCUAAAUACUCCUGACUGACCGAUAGUGAACCAGUACCGUGAGGGAAAGGCGAAAAGAACCCCGGCGAGGGGAGUGAAAAAGAACCUGAAACCGUGUACGUACAAGCAGUGGGAGCACGCUUAGGCGUGUGACUGCGUACCUUUUGUAUAAUGGGUCAGCGACUUAUAUUCUGUAGCAAGGUUAACCGAAUAGGGGAGCCGAAGGGAAACCGAGUCUUAACUGGGCGUUAAGUUGCAGGGUAUAGACCCGAAACCCGGUGAUCUAGCCAUGGGCAGGUUGAAGGUUGGGUAACACUAACUGGAGGACCGAACCGACUAAUGUUGAAAAAUUAGCGGAUGACUUGUGGCUGGGGGUGAAAGGCCAAUCAAACCGGGAGAUAGCUGGUUCUCCCCGAAAGCUAUUUAGGUAGCGCCUCGUGAAUUCAUCUCCGGGGGUAGAGCACUGUUUCGGCAAGGGGGUCAUCCCGACUUACCAACCCGAUGCAAACUGCGAAUACCGGAGAAUGUUAUCACGGGAGACACACGGCGGGUGCUAACGUCCGUCGUGAAGAGGGAAACAACCCAGACCGCCAGCUAAGGUCCCAAAGUCAUGGUUAAGUGGGAAACGAUGUGGGAAGGCCCAGACAGCCAGGAUGUUGGCUUAGAAGCAGCCAUCAUUUAAAGAAAGCGUAAUAGCUCACUGGUCGAGUCGGCCUGCGCGGAAGAUGUAACGGGGCUAAACCAUGCACCGAAGCUGCGGCAGCGACNNNNAUGCUGGAGGUAUCAGAAGUGCGAAUGCUGACAUAAGUAACGAUAAAGCGGGUGAAAAGCCCGCUCGCCGGAAGACCAAGGGUUCCUGUCCAACGUUAAUCGGGGCAGGGUGAGUCGACCCCUAAGGCGAGGCCGAAAGGCGUAGUCGAUGGGAAACAGGUUAAUAUUCCUGUACUUGGUGUUACUGCGAAGGGGGGACGGAGAAGGCUAUGUUGGCCGGGCGACGGUUGUCCCGGUUUAAGCGUGUAGGCUGGUUUUCCAGGCAAAUCCGGAAAAUCAAGGCUGAGGCGUGAUGACGAGGCACUACGGUGCUGAAGCAACAAAUGCCCUGCUUCCAGGAAAAGCCUCUAAGCAUCAGGUAACAUCAAAUCGUACCCCAAACCGACACAGGUGGUCAGGUAGAGAAUACCAAGGCGCUUGAGAGAACUCGGGUGAAGGAACUAGGCAAAAUGGUGCCGUAACUUCGGGAGAAGGCACGCUGAUAUGUAGGUGAAGUGAUUUACUCAUGGAGCUGAAAUCAGUCGAAGAUACCAGCUGGCUGCAACUGUUUAUUAAAAACACAGCACUGUGCAAACACGAAAGUGGACGUAUACGGUGUGACGCCUGCCCGGUGCCGGAAGGUUAAUUGAUGGGGUCAGCGCAAGCGAAGCUCUUGAUCGAAGCCCCGGUAAACGGCGGCCGUAACUAUAACGGUCCUAAGGUAGCGAAAUUCCUUGUCGGGUAAGUUCCGACCUGCACGAAUGGCGUAAUGAUGGCCAGGCUGUCUCCACCCGAGACUCAGUGAAAUUGAACUCGCUGUGAAGAUGCAGUGUACCCGCGGCAAGACGGAAAGACCCCGUGAACCUUUACUAUAGCUUGACACUGAACAUUGAGCCUUGAUGUGUAGGAUAGGUGGGAGGCUUUGAAGUGUGGACGCCAGUCUGCAUGGAGCCGACCUUGAAAUACCACCCUUUAAUGUUUGAUGUUCUAACGUGGACCCGUAAUCCGGGUUGCGGACAGUGUCUGGUGGGUAGUUUGACUGGGGCGGUCUCCUCCUAAAGAGUAACGGAGGAGCACGAAGGUUGGCUAAUCCUGGUCGGACAUCAGGAGGUUAGUGCAAUGGCAUAAGCCAGCUUGACUGCGAGCGUGACGGCGCGAGCAGGUGCGAAAGCAGGUCAUAGUGAUCCGGUGGUUCUGAAUGGAAGGGCCAUCGCUCAACGGAUAAAAGGUACUCCGGGGAUAACAGGCUGAUACCGCCCAAGAGUUCAUAUCGACGGCGGUGUUUGGCACCUCGAUGUCGGCUCAUCACAUCCUGGGGCUGAAGUAGGUCCCAAGGGUAUGGCUGUUCGCCAUUUAAAGUGGUACGCGAGCUGGGUUUAGAACGUCGUGAGACAGUUCGGUCCCUAUCUGCCGUGGGCGCUGGAGAACUGAGGGGGGCUGCUCCUAGUACGAGAGGACCGGAGUGGACGCAUCACUGGUGUUCGGGUUGUCAUGCCAAUGGCACUGCCCGGUAGCUAAAUGCGGAAGAGAUAAGUGCUGAAAGCAUCUAAGCACGAAACUUGCCCCGAGAUGAGUUCUCCCUGACCCUUUAAGGGUCCUGAAGGAACGUUGAAGACGACGACGUUGAUAGGCCGGGUGUGUAAGCGCAGCGAUGCGUUGAGCUAACCGGUACUAAUGAACCGUGAGGCUUAACCUU